GGAGAGGUGACAGAGCGGCCGAAUGUGACGGUCUUGAAAACCGUUGUGGUGCAAGCCACCAGGGGUUCGAAUCCCCUCCUCUCCG
Molecule: transfer RNA, 85 nt
Filed under: Serinibacter salmoneus
Lineage: Bacteria; Bacillati; Actinomycetota; Actinomycetes; Micrococcales; Beutenbergiaceae
Rfam family: tRNA
About the family: Transfer RNA (tRNA) molecules are approximately 80 nucleotides in length. Their secondary structure includes four short double-helical elements and three loops (D, anti-codon, and T loops).
Source: Rfam by way of RNAcentral